GAAUAUUGCAAAAUGGGCGAAAGCCCGAUGCAGCAACGCCGCGUGGGCGAUGAAGGCCUUCGGGUCGUAAAGCCCUUUUUGAGGGGAUGAGGAAGGACAGUACCCUCAGAAUAAGCCUCGGCUAACUACGUGCCAGCAGCCGCGGUAAAACGUAGGAGGCGAGCGUUAUCCGGAUUUACUGGGCGUAAAGCGCGUGCAGGCGGAUUGGAGAGUUGGAUGUGAAAGCUCCCGGCUUAACUGGGAGAGGUCGUUCAAUACUUCCAGUCUUGAGUGCAGUAGAGGGAAGUGGAAUUCCGGGUGUAGUGGUGAAAUGCGUAGAUAUCCGGAGGAACACCAGUGGCGAAAGCGGCUUCCUGGACUGUAACUGACGCUCAGACGCGAAAGCUAGGGUAGCAAACG
This 399-nucleotide ribosomal RNA is filed under the name uncultured bacterium. RNAcentral describes it as "bacterial SSU rRNA". It matches the Rfam family "Bacterial small subunit ribosomal RNA", at positions 359 to 774 of the family's 1533-position model. The record is from RNAcentral.